UAAUACGUAGGGUGCAAGCGUUGUCCGGAAUUACUGGGUGUAAAGGGUCCGCAGGCGGGUGAGCAAGUCGGUGGUGAAAGUCUUCGGCUUAACCGAAGAACUGCCUCCGAUACUGUUCAUCUUGAGUCCGAGAGAGGAUGAUGGAAUUCAUGGUGUAGCGGUGAAAUGCGUAGAGAUCAUGAAGAACACCAGUAGCGAAGGCGGUCAUCUGGCUCGGUACUGACGCUCAGGGACGAAAGCGUGGGGAGCAAACAGGAUUAGAUACCCUGGUAGUCCACGCCAUAAACGAUGGAUGUUCGGUGUCGGUUCGAAAGAAUCGGUGCCUGAGCUAACGCGUUAAACAUCCCACCUGGGGAGUACGAUCGCAAGGUUGAAACUCAAAGGAAUUGACGGGGGCCCGCACAAGCAGUGGAGCAUGUGGUUCAAUUCGAUGCAACGCGAAGAACCUUACCUGGGUUUGAAAGGCUAGUGACAACCGAUGAAAGUCGGUCUCGUAGCAAUACGCAC
RNAcentral lists this ribosomal RNA (507 nucleotides) under uncultured Ignavibacterium sp. RNAcentral describes it as "bacterial SSU rRNA". It matches the Rfam family "Bacterial small subunit ribosomal RNA", at positions 521 to 1029 of the family's 1533-position model. The record is from RNAcentral. Lineage: Bacteria; Pseudomonadati; Ignavibacteriota; Ignavibacteria; Ignavibacteriales; Ignavibacteriaceae.